GGUGGAGCCUGCGGUUCAAUUGGAUUCAACGCCGGAAAACUCACCGGAGGAGACAGCAAGAUGAAGGUCAGGCUGAAGACCUUACCCGAUUAGCUGAGAGGUGGCGCAUGGCCGUCGGCAGUUCGUGUCGUGAAACAUCCUGUUAAGUCAGGCAACGGGCGAGACCCGCGCUCACAGUUGCCAGCAUGUUCUUCGGAACGAUGGGCACUCUGCGAGGACUGCCACCGCUAAGGUGGAGGAAGAAGCGGGCCACGGUAGGUCAGUACGCCCCGAAUCUUCCGGGCUACACGCGUGCUACAAUGGACAGUACAAUGGGUAUCAACCCCGAAAGGGGAAGGUAAUCUCCUAAAACUGCCCUCAGUUGGGAUCGAGGGCUGCAACUCGCCCUCGUGAACCAGGAAUCCGUAGUAAUCGCCUCUCAAAAUGAGGCGGUGAAUAUGUCCCUGCUCCUUGCACAC
This 458-nucleotide ribosomal RNA is filed under the name uncultured euryarchaeote. RNAcentral's name for it is "bacterial SSU rRNA". It matches the Rfam family "Archaeal small subunit ribosomal RNA", at positions 887 to 1344 of the family's 1478-position model. The record is from RNAcentral. Lineage: Archaea; Methanobacteriati; Methanobacteriota.